RNAcentral lists this transfer-messenger RNA (404 nucleotides) under Minisyncoccia. Its description in RNAcentral is "C7867-005 sp001189165 Standard tmRNA". It matches the Rfam family "transfer-messenger RNA". Rfam says of the family: Bacterial tmRNA, also known as 10Sa RNA or SsrA, is named for its dual tRNA and mRNA-like properties. Its role is to liberate the mRNA from a stalled ribosome. Lineage: Bacteria; Bacillati; Minisyncoccota. The record is from RNAcentral.
GGGGGUGUCAGUUUUGACACGAGACAUCUUUGACCCGUGCGAGGCAGAGCUCCAACAACUCUUUAAAAGGUUGGAACCCUAAGUGCAAAAUCAACUCUUGCACAGGCGAAGUCAAUAGUUUCUCCAUUUUAUGGAGCAAACGAUUUCGCAUUCGCAUACGUAAGAGCUUAAUACUCUUCGUACCGAACGUUCUCUAUCCUCACUGCCAGGCAUGAGUUAGGGGGCGCAUAAUCUGCCUGACUCCAAUCCGGAAACUGCUCACUUCAGGAUCUAAGAUCGAGCUCGAUCUAUGAAUGUUUUGUCUAGCUUUUAGUUCAUAGAUCUAAACACCAAGCUAAACUACGCCUUGUAGACCCGUUUCAAAUAUCCUCAUGGACGUGGGUUCAAUCCCACCACCUCCACAG